Molecule: ribosomal RNA, 253 nt
Filed under: uncultured bacterium
Lineage: Bacteria
Description: partial 16S ribosomal RNA
Rfam family: Bacterial small subunit ribosomal RNA
Source: RNAcentral
UACGAAGGGUGCAAGCGUUACUCGGAAUUACUGGGCGUAAAGCGUGUGUAGGCGGCUACGUAAGUCGGAUGUGAAAGCCCCGGGCUUAACCCGGGAAGUGCACUCGAUACUGCGUAGCUUGAGUAUCGGAGAGGUUGGUGGAAUUCUCGGUGUAGAGGUGAAAUUCGUAGAUAUCGAGAGGAACACCGGUGGCGAAGGCGGCCAACUGGACGAAUACUGACGCUGAGACACGAAAGCGUGGGGAGCAAACAGG